GUGCUUGCAUAGGCAGCACAUAUACUAAAACUGGAAUGAUACAGAAAAGUUUAGCAUGGCCUCUGUGCAAAGAUGACACACAAAUUCAUGAAGAGUUCCAUAUUUUU
This 107-nucleotide small nuclear RNA is filed under the name Meriones unguiculatus (Mongolian gerbil). The record is from RNAcentral. Lineage: Eukaryota; Metazoa; Chordata; Mammalia; Rodentia; Muridae.